UUGAGCGGUAGAUAUCGGCUUGCUUUUUGACUGCGAAAGUUAUCUUGACUCAGAAAACGUUCAACCCUAAAGGCAACACAGAGACAAACAGGUUCCGCCCACGUUACAGUUUUGUUAACCUUCGCCCACAAUCAGGGAGCCAGUUCAUUCUGUCGCGAUAUCUUCAUCCACACCACACAAAACAUUACUCUGGUGUGUUGACUGCCCUCAUUUAAUCUAGUUGUUUUAAGAACAGUAUUAAUAUUUUUUUGCGUAUCGUAAGCUACUAGAAAAAUGCAUUCCGGGGCAUUGGAAAGAGCUGGGUCACCGAGGAAAAGGACGCUUUCUCGGGGAGUGAGCGAGGAUGAGUCACUUCGCAACAUUAUCAAGGAGGUGAGCGUCGAGAAAUCACGUCGUCUUUGUUUAAUACGACAUUUACAUGAGGCAUAUAGUCUAUUUUCUCAAUUAUCUCUUUUUAUUGAGUAAUUUGAGAUUGUAGCAUAUCCUACUAACAUUUAAAUUUAGCCAAUUGAAGCUUAGCCUUGGCAACAUUACUAGUGGUUACAGUCGAAGAUUCAUCCUCUUACAACGGAGAGUUCGACCAGGCGUCUGACGCACAGUGACAGCAGAGGGGGGACCCUCAAGAGGAGAAGUGGGAGUCAGCAGUCUGUGGAAGAUCAGGAACUGAUGGAACUCCCUGAGAUGAAUGACCUGCAGGCAAGCUACGACGAUGUGUUGCAGGAGCUGCGUGGGCUGGAGCUGCAGCGGGAGACUCUGUUGUUCCAGGUGGACGUUCUGCAGGACGCCCUGGAGGGGGCCGAGGAGAUGCUGGCUGAGGCCCAGAGAGAGGCCAGCCACGCCACCAUGGAGGUGGAGCGAGAGAGAGAGGCGAAGAGGAAGUUGGAGGACAUUGUCAGUUCUCUGAUGCAGGAGGUGGAGAGGCUAAAAGAGGAGAGGAACACCAUAUCAGCAGUCCCAGUGUACACACUUGUCAAGGAGCAGGAGAGGGAAGAUGAGAUGGCUAGACAACAAGCCACAGAGAUGCAAAUCAAAAAGGGAGCACAGGAACAAAUCAGGGAUGCACCAAGGUAUGAGGACAAUUCUCGCCAAGAUGCACCUCUCUCUAUUAUCCGAUUGGACAGUGAGGGCCCCGGGCCCAACAAUGGGCUAUCAUCUGAGACCAGCACUGGGGGGCUGCUCGCUUCCUUCUUCAAAAAGGGGAGGGGGGAGCAGCCUUCUGACAGUCUGACCCAGCCCUCUCCUAUCCACGUUGCCCAGCUGGUGUCCUCUGAGGACGUAGCAGAUGGGGCACAGGACAGCUUCACCAAGUUCACAAAGAUAGUCAACAAGACCUUUGGGCCGUUGUCACUCGGUAGCCAGACCCCCGGGAGAAAUCAGGAGGAGAACGGGCGUGACCUCUCCCCCGACAGGAACAAUGACACAGACAGCAUCAGCGCCUAUGAAGAUGCCUGCGCUGACAUGCCCGAGCUGGAAGAGGGUGACGGGCCAAGGCUGCCCCAUGAUGAAGGCUCCCCAGUAGAUGAUGAGGGAGAUCUGUCAAAUGGCAACGAACCCAAGAGCAUCAAAAACCCCAAUGAAUCUUGCAUUCUGUCGUAAGAGCUGCAGAACUGUUGUGCUACGAAGGAUCAAAUCUUCUCUGAGAUCACUGCUCUCGCUCCGUCCGCCUCUUGAUAAUGUAUGCCAUUUAGCAGACGCUUUUAUCCGAAGAGACUUACAUGCAUCCAUUUUUUUAUUAUGUCUUAUGUUCUUGGGCCUGUACUCUCCAGUUACACAUAUAGAAGGGUAGAGUCAAUCUUGGGAGUUGUUGCCAGGCAGUGUGGAAUUCCAGUCAUGUCUACAGACUACUCUAAAGCCAAUCUCUCUCCCUCCGCAUUGUUUGGCACGACCUGCAAGGUUGCACUUACACCCCCCCCCCCUGCUGUUCGGCACAAAAGGCAAAUGACCUCUCUGUUUCUUAGUGACUGAUAAUCACACAAGACUGUUUGCGUACACUGAACUAUCAGAUAUAUCAGACCUCUUGCAUUCUAAACGGGCAAACUAUGUGAUUCGUAGAUUAAGACGAUUAUAGUUGUUUUUAUGCUCUUAAGUUUAGACGCUGGCAAGAUUGUAAUCACAAUAGCAGGCAGCCAAGGAGCUAGCUACUAUAUAUUUGAAUAAUUCCAUUUAUGGGUAUAAAACCAUAAUGUUUUCACUGUCUCACUGGCCUUCACAGGGACAUUUCAUUUGAUCUUCAAGAAGGAUUUGGUGCCUUUCCUGGCUCACCUUAAUGCAUUUUAUGAAUAUGGAAUAUUAACUUGAAAGAUGUAAUACAUUUACUGAAUUUAAUCUAGCUUUAGUACGAUACUAGCAUGAUUGAAAAAGUAACGACAUUCCAUUUAAUAGUAAAACUUUAAGGAUACCUGAUAAUGUAUAUGUACAGUAACAGUACUGCAUGCUACUUGUCAGGUCAUGUUUGCACAGUCGCAGUGAAACUACUGAAUUGGUAGACCUUACAUGUUAUUUUGUAUCUGGCAUUGCUGGACAAUGUACCCUUUGUUUUUCUUCUCUCUACCCAUAACAUUAACAUAAAAUCUGAGGAUAAUCUUUUGACUUGGAAAGAGUUACAUAAACAUUGCUACCUAUUAAUCUUUUUAGGAGAUUUUUUCAUAGUCCCAAAAGGCACCUUAUUCCCUUUUUAGUGCAUUACUUUUGACCAGGGCAAUAUAAAGGGAAUAGGGUGUAAUUUGGGACGCAUACUUUAUCAACAUUCCUGUCCAUGUUUGACACUAGCGAGGUCAAAUGAAAUUGAUCUGUUUUCCAAUCCUUACCUUGUUGAACAUUUUCAACAGAUACUGCGUUUGUAAUGAACUUGGGGGCAAAUCUUACAAUGCCUUCAACACUAGGUUUUGUGUGUUAGACUUUGUGUAUCUCAAGUCAGAAUGCAGCUCUUGGUAGUAGGGGUUAAAUGGAUGUCAAGUUCGAAAGCACACUGAAACACACUGAAAUAAUUCCUAACUUUGAUACUUGUGAUGUGUUUUCUAUUCUGUUUCUAUUGCCUGAAUUUCUGUUUCUGCGGGAGAUAGUCUUCAGAAAGUAUUCACACACCUUGACCAUUUCCACAUUUGUUGUUACAAAGUGGAAUGGAUUUAAUUGUCAUUUAUAUUAACGGUCUAUACAAAAUACUCUGUCAAAGUGGCAAAAAAAAUCAAAUAACAUUGUAUUACUGGAAAAUAAAACACUAAAAUAUCUAAUUUGCAUAAGUAUUCAACCCCCUGAGUCAAUACAUGUUAGAAUGUUAGAAUCACCUUUUGGCAGCAAUUACACCUGUGAGUUUCUGGGUAAGCUUCUAAGAGAUUUGCACACCUGGAUUGUACAAUAUUUGCACAUUAUUCUUUUAAAAAAUUCUUCAAACUCUGUCAAGUUGGUUAUUGAUCAUUGCUGUACAGCCAUUUGAGUCUUGCCAUAGACUUUCAAGACGAUUUAAGUCAAAACUGUAACAAAGCCACUCAGGAACAUUCAAUGUUGUUUUGGUAAGCAACUCCCAUGUAUAUUUGGCCUUGUGUUUUAGGUAAUUGUCCUGCUGAAAGGUGAAUUUGCCUCCCAGUGUCUGUUGGAAAGCAGACUGAACCAAGUUUUCCUGGAGGAUUUUGCCUGUGCUUAGCUCUAUUCCUAGUUUAUUCUGUACAGGCUACCUUCUUUCCACUUUGUCAUUUAUGUUAGUAUUGUGGAGUAACUACAAUGUUGUUGAUCCAUCCUCAGUUAUCUCUAUUCACAGCCAUUAAACUCUGUCACUGUUUUAAAAUCACCAUUGGCCUCAUGGUGAAAUCCCUGAGCAGGUUCCUUACUUUCCUUAAAGAAGGGUGACUGUACUUGUAGUGACUGGGUGUAUUGAUACACCAUCCAAAGUGUAAUAACUGCACCAUGAUCAAAGGGAUAUUCAAUGUCUGCUUUUUUACCCAUCUACCAAUAGGUGCCCUUUGCGAACCAUUGGAAAACCUCCCUGGUCUUUGUGGCUGAAUCUGUGCUUCAAAUUAAUUGCUUGACUGAGCAACCUUACAAUUAUCUGUAUGUGUGGGGUACAGAAAUCAAAUCAAAAUGUAUUUGUCAUGUGCGCUGAAUACAACAGGUGUAGUAGACCUUACAGUGAAAUGCUUACUUACAGGCUCUAACCAAUAGUGCAAAAAAGGUAUUAGGUGAACAAUAGGUAGGUUAAGAAAUAAGAGAACAGUAAAAAGACAGACUAUAUACAGUAGUGAGGCUACAUACAGGCACCGGUUAGUCAGGCUAAUUGAUGUAGAAUGUACAUGUAGAUAUGGUUAAAGUAGCUCUCGGAGAUGGGGUAGUCAUUUUAAAAAUCAUGUUGAACACUAUUGCAAGUCCAUGCAACUUAUUAUCUGACUUGUUAAGCACAUUUUUACUCCUGACCCUAUUUAGGUUUGCAAUAACGAAAGGGUUGAAUACUUAUUGGCUCGACAUUUCAGCUUUUCAUUUUCAAAUAAUUUGUAUAAAUGUAUUGAAACAUAAUUCCAAAUUGACGUUAUGGGUAUUGUGUGUAGAUCUGUGACACAAUCUCAAUUUAAUCCAUUUUAAAUUCAGGCUGUAACACAACAAAAUGUGGAGAAAAUUUGAGGGGUAUGAAUACUUUCUGAAGGCACAAUAUGUACUUUACUCGGGAGGUUUCUAAAUGUGCAAUACUACCUGUUAUGUUGGUGAAUGGUUAUGUCUUAUCUAAUGCUCCUUGAUGUCACAAUUUAUCUUGAACAUUUAGGUAUUUUUUUCUGAAAGCAACUGUUUGAUAUAAAAGAUGUUUUUCAGCAGUCUUGGCACAAAGUGUGUGUUAUUUCAGCAUGCCUCUGCUAAUGUAAAUUUGCACUAGUUUUGUGAUUUGCACUUCCAAACAGGGUUUGCUGCAUCGUAUUAUGUUCUAAAAUGGCAACAAAAAAAUAUGGGAAAAACAUGUUACUGAGUGGUAAUGCUUAUGCUUUAUCAUAUUUUCACCAAAUAGUUAAAGUAUGUAUUUUUUGAAUGAAUUCUAUUCUUUUAAAGAAUAAAUAUUUUGUACAGUG
Oncorhynchus tshawytscha (Chinook salmon) is the source of this 5045-nucleotide long non-coding RNA. Lineage: Eukaryota; Metazoa; Chordata; Actinopteri; Salmoniformes; Salmonidae. The record is from Ensembl.